CCAUGAUUGGCCAGAUAGAAGGCCACGUGAUGAUAGAGAUAUAGGGCGUGAAAGGGAUAAAGAUAGGGAUCGAGAUAGGGAUAGAGAACGAUCUCGAGAUUAUGAGCGUGGCCAUCAUGAUCGUGAUCGUGAACGUGAUAGGGAUCGUGACCGUGAUAGGUACAAGGAAGAUAGGGACAGAUAUUCUGAUCAUCAUAGGUACAGAGAUCGGGAACCAGAGCAUGAAGAGGAUUGGGAAAGGGG
This 243-nucleotide unclassified non-coding RNA is filed under the name Hevea brasiliensis (rubber tree). The record is from RNAcentral. Lineage: Eukaryota; Viridiplantae; Streptophyta; Magnoliopsida; Malpighiales; Euphorbiaceae.